This is a long non-coding RNA of Cyprinus carpio carpio, 1609 nucleotides long. Lineage: Eukaryota; Metazoa; Chordata; Actinopteri; Cypriniformes; Cyprinidae. The record is from Ensembl.
UACUCCGGUGGGGGCAGCCAAACCGUCUGGGAUAGAACUGCUAUGCUUGCCAAUAGAGCUGGACAUUCUUCAGCUUUGAUAACACCUGAUCUAUGUGUCAAUAUUUUACCUCUACUGUAAGUGUUAAUUGCCUCUAAGAUGUGAAAUGAUCUCAUAGUGGGUUCCUCGAAAUUGUUCAGCCCACCAGGAUGAUACUAAACGUUUGUGAUCUAAUAGCCUGUGUUAUUGUUUUAUAAUCCCAUUUUAUUUAUGAUUUUUUUUUCCAUUAUUAUUAUUAUAUAUUGUCUCCAUGUUAUGCAACUCAAAUUUAAAAUUGAAGUUUCUAGAUAGUUGGUACAAACAGAAAAACAAAACGGGAAGAAUAUGAUUAAUUGAGUGUUCUUAAGAGCUCAUGGUAAGGAUGUCAGACUGUGAACAGAAAGGGAAAGGUUACAUUUAUCUUGACCAGGAGGGGGCAGUGCAGAGCAGAUGACGUCCAGCUUGUCUUAUUGGUUCUCUUUUCAGUCAUCAGAAGGUGCUCAAAGGACAGAGUGAUUUAAGAGUGAAAACAGUCAAUAGAUUUCUGUCUCUAAGACCACUACUUUGAUUGACUGAUUGUGAAACUGCAGUGUUUUUUCCUAAAAAUAAAGGCUCUUUAUUGGCAUUGACGUUACUAUGAAGAACCUUGUACAUUUAUGGAACCUUUCCAGGUUCUUUGUAAUGAAAAAGUGUUUUUAUUUAUUUAUUUAUUUAUUUAUUUAUUUUUACCAGCUGCUGUGUAUUUGAUGUAUCUGUAUUGGUGGGAUCAGACACUAGUGAGACUUGGUAGUUUACAGAGCCUAAUUUCUUAACCAUUUUAGCAGGGCCUUUCCAAAACCAUCAUCUGCUUUCACAACCAAACUACAUCUCUGAUCUGGAACUGCAUCUACUGGUUUUGCUGGUUGUAAUUUUUUUAUGUUUGGCUUAGGUUCGUGCAACAUUCUCCUUUACCAAUUUGAUGAGGUCUUUCUGAUGUUCCAAGGAGGGGUGGACAGAGCUGCUAGGGUCAAGAGGUGGUUGCAAAGCUCUUUCCAAUGGUCCUUUCAGUUUCCGUCCUAAAGCGACCUCGGCUGGAGUGAACACAGUGCUUUCAUGUCAGGCUGAAUUUAUGGCGAACCUAAAUUCGGCAAACCACAUGUCCAAUUGGCUAUGAUGCUUUUCCACAUAAAAAAAAAGUGAUCAUGAAUUUCAAAUUUCUACUCACUCUACACAUUAGUCUGGGGAUGGUAGGGAGUGGUUUACUUUUGAACAACUCCCCACUGUUUGCAUACUAGACUGAUUAGCUGAGAGGUAAUUUGAGUUCCUCUGUUUGACACAAGAUAUCCAGGAGUUCUAGUGAAGAUUUCCUUCAUUAGUAUUUUGCCAAUGUGAGGUGUCUUGGCUGCCCUCAAAGGGAACAACUCUACCCACUUCGAGCAAUAAUUUACCACCACAAGCAGAUAUUCAUUUUGUUUGAUACUCUUGGGGAAAGGACCCAUGAGAUCAACCCCGAGCAUGUAUAUUGGUUCUACAAUUGGAGUGCUCUGCAACAGACCACACAGCUUUUCCUGAGAAGGCUUGAAUUUUUGGCUGGUGUGGCAGUUCUUUCAAU